AUCUCUAUAGGUCCAAUAAUCAUGACUAAAGGAAAUAGCAACUCUAUAGGCCAUAUAUCAAGUCUAAGAGGAAAUAACAUCUCUCCAGGCCAAAUAUCAAGUCUAAGAGGAAAUAGCAUCUCUAUAGGCCACAUAAUGUAUCUAGGAGGAAUAUCACCUCUAAAUGCCCAAUAUCACUUCCACAUGUAGUAUCAUAACCAUAACUAAAUAGCCACAAUCUUGAAACAUCAAUACAAGUUACCAAGUUAUGAAGUAACCUUAUUCUAAGGUUAACUAGCCUCAUCUAUGUCUAACAUCCGCAACUAAGUCCACAAGACUUAAC
RNAcentral lists this long non-coding RNA (322 nucleotides) under Capsicum annuum. Its description in RNAcentral is "long non-coding RNA (CANN_LNC015155)". The record is from RNAcentral. Lineage: Eukaryota; Viridiplantae; Streptophyta; Magnoliopsida; Solanales; Solanaceae.